CUCAGCACUGAAAUGCACAAACCCGAGAGCUCCCUUUUUACGUAAUCCCUCUGGUGUUCCGGUACCCAACCCAGAUAUCGGUACACAACACUGAAAUCCUGCACUUUGCAGAUUUUAGAGUUAGAACUCCAACCUGCACUACAUCGAGUCUGUUUUCGCGUCAAUUUCGCGCCAAAACGACUCCGACUCGUCCUGAACUCUCCAGACGUGUCGACAAGCCACAGACGCUACAGUCACUUGGACAGCUAAACCCCAGGAACACUACAUUCUCUCCCACUACAAAAAGUUUCGUCC
Molecule: long non-coding RNA, 294 nt
Filed under: Ananas comosus (pineapple)
Lineage: Eukaryota; Viridiplantae; Streptophyta; Magnoliopsida; Poales; Bromeliaceae
Description: long non-coding RNA (ACOM_LNC032566)
Source: RNAcentral